GACGCAGUGGGGCAUGUAGCUCAGAGGAUUAGAGCACGUGGCUACGAACCACAGUGUCGGGGGUUCGAAUCCCUCCUCGCCCAC
This 84-nucleotide transfer RNA is filed under the name Helianthus annuus (common sunflower). RNAcentral describes it as "tRNA-Arg". The stretch from base 10 to 83 matches the Rfam family "tRNA". Rfam says of the family: Transfer RNA (tRNA) molecules are approximately 80 nucleotides in length. Their secondary structure includes four short double-helical elements and three loops (D, anti-codon, and T loops). The record is from RNAcentral. Lineage: Eukaryota; Viridiplantae; Streptophyta; Magnoliopsida; Asterales; Asteraceae.